GCGAAAGGGGGGGCAACCCCCCAAGUAGAGUGGCGAACGGGUGAGUAAUACAUCGGAACGUGUCCAGUAGUGGGGGAUAACCUCUCGAAAGAGAGGCUAAUACCGCAUACGACCUACGGGUGAAAGAGGGGGAUCGCAAGACCUCUCACUAUUGGAGCGGCCGAUGUCGGAUUAGCUAGUUGGCGGGGUAAAAGCCCACCAAGGCUACGAUCCGUAGCUGGUCUGAGAGGACGGCCAGCCACACUGGAACUGAGACACGGUCCAGACUCCUACGGGAGGCAGCAGUGGGGAAUUUUGGACAAUGGGCGCAAGCCUGAUCCAGCCAUGCCGCGUGAGUGAAGAAGGCCUUCGGGUUGUAAAGCUCUUUCGGCGGGAACAAAAGGUCCGUGUUAACACCAUGGAUCCAUGACGGUACCCGCAGAAGAAGCACCGGCUAACUACGUGCCAGCAGCCGCGGUAAUACGUAGGGUGCAGGCGUUAAUCGGAAUUACUGGGCGUAAAGCGUGCGCAGGCGGUUUGCUAAGACAGGUGUGAAAUCCCCGGGCUUAACCUGGGAACUGCGCUUGUAACUGGCAAGCUAGAGUGUGGCAGAGGGGGGUGGAAUUCCAGGUGUAGCAGUGAAAUGCGUAGAGAUCUGGAGGAACACCGAUGGCGAAGGCAGCCCCCUGGGCUAACACUGACGCUCAUGCACGAAAGCGUGGGGGAGCAAACAGGAUUAGA
RNAcentral lists this ribosomal RNA (720 nucleotides) under uncultured Pseudomonadota bacterium. RNAcentral describes it as "bacterial SSU rRNA". It matches the Rfam family "Bacterial small subunit ribosomal RNA", at positions 66 to 782 of the family's 1533-position model. Lineage: Bacteria; Pseudomonadati; Pseudomonadota. The record is from RNAcentral.